Molecule: ribosomal RNA, 367 nt
Filed under: uncultured Bacteroidota bacterium
Lineage: Bacteria; Pseudomonadati; Bacteroidota
Description: bacterial SSU rRNA
Rfam family: Bacterial small subunit ribosomal RNA
Source: RNAcentral
GUAGGUGGCAAGCGUUGUCCGGAUUUAUUGGGUUUAAAGGGUGCGUAGGCGUUUCUAUAAGUCAGUGGUGAAAUCCGGCAGCUCAACUGUCGAUGUGCCAUUGAUACUGCAGAACUUGAGUACAGACGAGGUAGGCGGAAUUGACGGUGUAGCGGUGAAAUGCUUAGAUAUCGUCAAGAACACCGAUAGCGAAGGCAGCUUACUAGACUGUAACUGACGCUGAUGCACGAAAGUGUGGGGAUCAAACAGGAUUAGAUACCCUGGUAGUCCACACUGUAAACGAUGAUUACUCGAUGUUGGCGAUACACAGCCAGCGUCUUAGCGAAAGCGAUAAGUAAUCCACCUGGGGAGUACGCCGGCAACGGUG